GAUGAAGAACGUAGCGAAAUGCGAUAAGUAAUGUGAAUUGCAGAAUUCAGUGAAUCAUCGAAUCUUUGAACGCACAUUGCGCCCGCCAGUAUUCUGGCGGGCAUGCCUGUUCGAGCGUCAUUACAACCCUCAGGCCCCCGGGCCUGGCGUUGGGGAUCGGCGGAGCCCCCCGUGGGCACACGCCGUCCCCCAAAUGCAGUGGCGGUCCCGCCGCAGCUUCCAUCGCGUAGUAGCUAACACCUCGCGACUGGAGAGCGGCGCGGCCACGCCGUAAAACACCCAACUCUUCUGAAGUUGACCUCGAAUCAGGUAGGAAUACCCGCUGAACUUGAGCAUAUCAAUAAGCGGAGGA
Molecule: unclassified non-coding RNA, 352 nt
Filed under: soil metagenome
Description: partial contains 5.8S ribosomal RNA, internal transcribed spacer 2, and large subunit ribosomal RNA
Rfam family: 5.8S ribosomal RNA (bases 1-120)
Source: RNAcentral